GACUGAUACUCUCGAAAUUGUAACAAUGAUUUUUCUAUAAUUAAAUUUAUUAAAAAAUAAAAAACAAUAAUGUAACUCCAUACAAUCUUUCUAAAUCUACGAUGAAGUAACUGGUGAUAUCUACACAUUUAUUGACGCUAUGAGUGGGACAAAAGAUAAUGUAAACAAAGAAGAACCAGACUGUGAUUGCUACGCGGAUGCACGCACCAAGUCGACCUGCCCUCCGACGCGGAACGUGACGCACCCCCUGCGGUACUAUGAGUUCACCCAGGAAGAGAUGAAAGCGCUGGAAGAAUGCGACACAGAGAGCUUCUACCAGCGCUGCUUGCCGUUCAGCGCAAUUCUGGCCACUUUGACGUACACUGCCAUAAAGAACGGCUACCUUAAGCCCAACCCCCGGUUCGGGCCAUUCCCGAAAGUGACGCUGGCAGUAGUGAUCGGCUACUUUAUCGGUAAAAUGUCCUACCAGCAGGCGUGCGCCGAGAAGCUCAUGGCACUUCCCGGCAGCUACAUCGGCCAGCUGCUGCGAGAACGGAAAAGUGGAAAAGUUAUAGGAGGCAGUCGAACCACAGUGGGCACUCAACCACCAGGCUCGACGAUGUUCGGCGCAAACCCGGGCGACAUAUACUCGGACGCGGGCCCCGGCAGAUCGCUCGACCUGGAUACAGAGCGUCCUUUGUUCAACGACGACUCCUACCAUCCUGGCUCCUCGGCACCUGUCCCGGCGCCGGAGGUCGCCCCCAGAAAUCCAAGCCUUUCCUACGACGACUUACGUCGUAAAAAUAGAGAUGACUACCAAGGUGCCAAACAGGACCCAUACAGGAAAAAGGCGGGCUAAGCCGUUGCUGAGAAGCAAUCUGUAGUGACUCUGAGAGAUUGAGAGAAUUGGCAUGCGCUACGCUAAAACAAUGACCGAGCUAGGUGCGCCACCGCCCGUGCAGCGCAAGCGCCCCGAGCCCCCGGUGCUGGCGCCGCCCGUGCCGACUAACAAGUACGGUGACGUCAUGGAGUAACGUUGCGUCGCUCGUCCACGUCUUGUCAUUGCGUAGUUACGAGUCCACAGCGCGUCAUUCGUUCGUAAACCGUGAUAUAUUGUGCGCUUACAAAGCCUUGAGAUAGAUGGUGCUCCGGUACCAUUGCACUGUAAAGGCCCCUAUAGUCGUUUUACAUUGAUGGGUAUCGUAAUGACGUUUGAUAUUUGAAUAGAAGUUUCAAUAGAGAUGUGGUGAUAAAAUCGUGUGAAUUAUCUAACCGAUAAAAUCCACAUACAAGAUAAAUCGAUUAGGAGCACAAUGAAACGAUUUAUUUUCAAAAUUAACAUAUACAGGCAUUUCAGUGGCUACUGACCACCUUGCUCAUAACGCGUAGGUCCAUCUUGGUCACAAUUACACCGGCACACAAUGUCAUUACAAUAACCAUCAGAGAAUAAAAAGACUAUAGCAUGCAUAGUUACGUCAGUUAAACAAGCGUACUUUUUCAUAAUGUACAAAACUGUUUUAAUUGACAAUGGAAAAUAAUAGUUGAGUUUUAUAA
Spodoptera frugiperda (fall armyworm) is the source of this 1533-nucleotide RNA transcript. It is a transcript of the gene named OCIA domain-containing protein 1, with no coding region annotated. NCBI's taxonomy places the organism in Eukaryota, Metazoa, Arthropoda, Insecta, Lepidoptera, Noctuidae. The record is from RefSeq and is a predicted model, not a curated record. The transcript is spliced from 7 exons.